GUGGGCCGGUCUUGAACAUUAAAUUAGUUGAACUUUAUUUUAUAGUUAAAUUCAUUAAUAAAUAUUAUAAACUCAUCAUGCUAUAUAUAUUUUAUACAUAUUUUUCAACUAGUAGUUAGAAAAUAUGUAUAGCAUGAUGUUUUUAAAAUGUAUAUUGAUGAAUAUUAACUAUAAAAUUGUCUUUUUGUGCAAUCUAACCAUACUGGUUCUCGCACUAAACAAAUUCAAAAACUAAUUAGUCUCAGGAUCGGAUAUUUAUUCCCAUUCCACAACUGCAAACAAGCCACAAAAAAAUAUUUAGAGGAAAACGGAAAAAUCAAAAUCAUGGAACUACACUGCAAUCUGAAGAAAGUUGAGAACUUAAGCAAAGAGUAAUAGUUGAAGAAUAAUAAGAAAGACAGAGUAACCAUUCACGAAACAAGUAGUGUGAAAUAAAUAAAUAAAUAUAGAAAUGUUUCUGGGUGGGUGUCCAUGAUUAAUAAGAAUGAAAGGGAAAAAGGAAAAGAAAAAGCGCUGAAGAAUGAACUAGUGUUGGAAUUGAAGGAGGAGGCUCAGAUUCGCCUUUUGUCAGACAAGAAAUGGGGGAAGGCAUGCAUGCAUGGCUGCAUCAACAGGCAGACAGACACUACAUUGAGUCACCUUGCCACAACACACACCUCUCAACCCCCAACUCAUAUGUCUGUUGCAAUUGAAGAGAUCAUCAUCACUGCCCCGCCGUCAUAAUAAGAAGAAGAAGAAGAAGAAGUACUAUAUAUAUAUAUAUGAUAUGAUUCCAAGUAGAAGAAGCAGAAGCACUUGCAAUAACACUAACAUGCAAUAACACUAAGGUUGAACGGAAAGAGAGAGAGAGACAGAAAGAGAAAAAGAGCAAGGAAAUUAUUGCAUGUGAAUUUUGUUUUUGUUGUUGUUUGUUGUUGCUAAUGUUUGUAGGCUGCGAAACGGAGAGAGGGGAAGUAAUAGUAAUCAUAGGCAUUGAGAAGUCAAGCCUCAUACUUAAACUAAUGAUAGGAGUCAAAGGAGGCUCAGGUUGGCAUUCACACUGAGAGGGGCAAUCCGACGAAUAAGAUGGCUGCGUCAACAGAAACAACGCCUCGCCACCAUGCUCGUCCUCACUCACCACUCAAUGCUCAAAUGCACAACACCAUCAUCAUUGCCUCAUUCUAUCAGAACAUAUCAUCAGAUCACAAUCAAAUCAAAAGGAGAUGUAUACCUGCACUGCGUUUACUCACUCGCCACGGCCCCAUAAGUCGCAGGACGCAGGGCACUUUUCAACCCUAAUUAGCUUCA
This 1287-nucleotide long non-coding RNA is filed under the name Arachis ipaensis. Its description in RNAcentral is "long non-coding RNA (AIPA_LNC001175)". The record is from RNAcentral. Lineage: Eukaryota; Viridiplantae; Streptophyta; Magnoliopsida; Fabales; Fabaceae.